Humulus lupulus (European hop) is the source of this 259-nucleotide long non-coding RNA. RefSeq lists it as uncharacterized. NCBI's taxonomy places the organism in Eukaryota, Viridiplantae, Streptophyta, Magnoliopsida, Rosales, Cannabaceae. The transcript has 3 exons. The record is from RefSeq and is a predicted model, not a curated record.
GGUUAAUGAUGUCAAUUUCUUAACCCAGUAGUUAUAUAUUAUAAAAUCAGGCAAGCCAACCACAAAUGGGCACUAAAAAUGGAAUGCUAACUUAAGUUUAUAUGUCAAUUUUACAUCUGUUGAUGUACCAAUACAACAGAGCUAUCUCUGGUAUGGUUCAAGCACUGGUGAUUCUGAUUCUCAGGCUUCAGGGGCAUACAUUUUCCGGCUUAAUGGGGCACCUCCAACUGUUGUUUGAAGAUUAGUAAGCACUUUCUUG